Molecule: long non-coding RNA, 1123 nt
Filed under: Canis lupus dingo (dingo)
Lineage: Eukaryota; Metazoa; Chordata; Mammalia; Carnivora; Canidae
Description: lncRNA (ENSCAFG00020007907.1)
Source: RNAcentral
AUGCUUCACCAACUGAGCCACGGAGACACCCCUGAAGUCUGGUUUAAAGGUCUUUGCAAGCUGGGGUUUUAUUUUGAAGUCAUCUCUACACCCACUGUGGGGCUCGAACUCACAACUCCGAGAUCAAGAGUCACUGGCUCCACCAAUGGGGUCAACCAGAGACCCCAGGAAACUCUUCAUUUAAAUGAAAAUCAAGGUAUAUUAUGACAUGAUUGUAUUUCAUUGACACACUUUUAUUUAAUGAUCUUUAAUGCUUGAAACAGUCUCCUGGAUUGUGGGCUUGAAUGCAGGAAGUAGGAAGUGUAAUCCCACCCAUUGUUCAGCCUGGUUUUGACCAACAUUCCCAAAGCCAUAAGAGUACAAGCACUGCUUCUCGGAUAUCAGCUUUUAGAGUCAACCUGUAAAAAAUCCAGAACACCUGGUUAUGGUUGCAGGAACGAUUGUCAAGCCUCAAAAUCUUGAAUUUGUAAAUGUGGGCUGAGAAAAGAUUGCCAGAGGAAGUGAGGAAGAGGAGUUACAAGCCGGCUUCUCUGGCCAAACACACAAAAGUAGACAGGACAAUAGGGUUUUACCUGUAUGACCGAAAUAAGUAAUAUAAAACCAGAAAUAAUUAGACACAUAUCGUUAGGAAGAGUGGAAGAGGAAGUGGAGCUACUCAAGUGCCUCGUGUUUUGUGUUGGAAAGUCGAUGUUCACGAAAGAUGAUACAGAAGGGAAUUGAAGGAUGCGCAUUUUAGCUAAGAUUUUGGAAAUAAUUUCCAGAAGAAAUAGGAACAGAAACCCUUAACAAGGCUUGUUUCCGGGUCGCAGGGUUGGAGUGGGGUGGGACAGGACGGGGACGGGUGAGGUAGCAUUGCUUUCCAACUUAACAGUCUCUGUUCUGCUGGGUCUGCUUUCAAGCAAAUGCAGCAUUUUGGUUCAUAGAAAAACAUUAUUGGGGCGCCUGGGGGGCUCAGUCAGUGAAGCAUCUACCUUCGGCUCAGGUCAUGAUUCCAGGGUCCCAGGAUCAAGUCCUGUAUCGGGCUCCCCGCAGGGAGCCUGCUUCUCCCUCUGCCUAUGUCUUUCUUUGUCUCUCUGUGUCUCUCAGGAAUAAAUAAGUAAAAUCUUUAAAGAAAAAGAGAGAG